AAGCGUGCGCAGGCGGUUAUGUAAGACAGUUGUGAAAUCCCCGGGCUCAACCUGGGAACCGCAUCUGUGACUGCAUAGCUAGAGUACGGUAGAGGGGGAUGGAAUUCCGCGUGUAGCAGUGAAAUGCGUAGAUAUGCGGAGGAACACCGAUGGCGAAGGCAAUCCCCUGGACCUGUACUGACGCUCAUGCACGAAAGCGUGGGGAGCAAACAGGAUUAGAUACCCCUAGU
RNAcentral lists this ribosomal RNA (230 nucleotides) under uncultured bacterium. RNAcentral describes it as "partial 16S ribosomal RNA". It matches the Rfam family "Bacterial small subunit ribosomal RNA", at positions 563 to 791 of the family's 1533-position model. The record is from RNAcentral.